This 66-nucleotide transfer RNA is filed under the name Bostrichoidea sp. 7 KM-2017. Its description in RNAcentral is "tRNA-Trp". The record is from RNAcentral. Lineage: Eukaryota; Metazoa; Arthropoda; Insecta; Coleoptera.
AAGGAUUUAAGUUAAAAAAACUAAUAGCCUUCAAAGCUUUAAAUAAAGUUUACACUUUAAGCCUUA